Molecule: ribosomal RNA, 1852 nt
Filed under: Escherichia coli
Lineage: Bacteria; Pseudomonadati; Pseudomonadota; Gammaproteobacteria; Enterobacterales; Enterobacteriaceae
Description: partial 23S ribosomal RNA
Rfam family: Bacterial large subunit ribosomal RNA
Source: RNAcentral
GGGUUGUGAGGUUAAGCGACUAAGCGUACACGGUGGAUGCCCUGGCAGUCAGAGGCGAUGAAGGACGUGCUAAUCUGCGAUAAGCGUCGGUAAGGUGAUAUGAACCGUUAUAACCGGCGAUUUCCGAAUGGGGAAACCCAGUGUGUUUCGACACACUAUCAUUAACUGAAUCCAUAGGUUAAUGAGGCGAACCGGGGGAACUGAAACAUCUAAGUACCCCGAGGAAAAGAAAUCAACCGAGAUUCCCCCAGUAGCGGCGAGCGAACGGGGAGGAGCCCAGAGCCUGAAUCAGUGUGUGUGUUAGUGGAAGCGUCUGGAAAGGCGCGCGAUACAGGGUGACAGCCCCGUACACAAAAAUGCACAUGCUGUGAGCUCGAUGAGUAGGGCGGGACACGUGGUAUCCUGUCUGAAUAUGGGGGGACCAUCCUCCAAGGCUAAAUACUCCUGACUGACCGAUAGUGAACCAGUACCGUGAGGGAAAGGCGAAAAGAACCCCGGCGAGGGGAGUGAAAAAGAACCUGAAACCGUGUACGUACAAGCAGUGGGAGCACGCUUAGGCGUGUGACUGCGUACCUUUUGUAUAAUGGGUCAGCGACUUAUAUUCUGUAGCAAGGUUAACCGAAUAGGGGAGCCGAAGGGAAACCGAGUCUUAACUGGGCGUUAAGUUGCAGGGUAUAGACCCGAAACCCGGUGAUCUAGCCAUGGGCAGGUUGAAGGUUGGGUAACACUAACUGGAGGACCGAACCGACUAAUGUUGAAAAAUUAGCGGAUGACUUGUGGCUGGGGGUGAAAGGCCAAUCAAACCGGGAGAUAGCUGGUUCUCCCCGAAAGCUAUUUAGGUAGCGCCUCGUGAAUUCAUCUCCGGGGGUAGAGCACUGUUUCGGCAAGGGGGUCAUCCCGACUUACCAACCCGAUGCAAACUGCGAAUACCGGAGAAUGUUAUCACGGGAGACACACGGCGGGUGCUAACGUCCGUCGUGAAGAGGGAAACAACCCAGACCGCCAGCUAAGGUCCCAAAGUCAUGGUUAAGUGGGAAACGAUGUGGGAAGGCCCAGACAGCCAGGAUGUUGGCUUAGAAGCAGCCAUCAUUUAAAGAAAGCGUAAUAGCUCACUGGUCGAGUCGGCCUGCGCGGAAGAUGUAACGGGGCUAAACCAUGCACCGAAGCUGCGGCAGCGACGCUUAUGCGUUGUUGGGUAGGGGAGCGUUCUGUAAGCCUGCGAAGGUGUACUGUGAGGUAUGCUGGAGGUAUCAGAAGUGCGAAUGCUGACAUAAGUAACGAUAAAGCGGGUGAAAAGCCCGCUCGCCGGAAGACCAAGGGUUCCUGUCCAACGUUAAUCGGGGCAGGGUGAGUCGACCCCUAAGGCGAGGCCGAAAGGCGUAGUCGAUGGGAAACAGGUUAAUAUUCCUGUACUUGGUGUUACUGCGAAGGGGGGACGGAGAAGGCUAUGUUGGCCGGGCGACGGUUGUCCCGGUUUAAGCGUGUAGGCUGGUUUUCCAGGCAAAUCCGGAAAAUCAAGGCUGAGGCGUGAUGACGAGGCACUACGGUGCUGAAGCAACAAAUGCCCUGCUUCCAGGAAAAGCCUCUAAGCAUCAGGUAACAUCAAAUCGUACCCCAAACCGACACAGGUGGUCAGGUAGAGAAUACCAAGGCGCUUGAGAGAACUCGGGUGAAGGAACUAGGCAAAAUGGUGCCGUAACUUCGGGAGAAGGCACGCUGAUAUGUAGGUGAAGCGACUUGCUCGUGGAGCUGAAAUCAGUCGAAGAUACCAGCUGGCUGCAACUGUUUAUUAAAAACACAGCACUGUGCAAACACGAAAGUGGACGUAUACGGUGUGACGCCUGCCCGGUGC